Long non-coding RNA from Vidua macroura (Pin-tailed whydah), 2205 nucleotides. RefSeq lists it as uncharacterized. The transcript has 4 exons. NCBI's taxonomy places the organism in Eukaryota, Metazoa, Chordata, Aves, Passeriformes, Viduidae. The record is from RefSeq and is a predicted model, not a curated record.
CUGAUUGGCGGCUGAGCUGUCUGUGCCCGCCCCCCACGCGGCUCGUUGCCGUGGUAACGGGAAGGCGGUUGCAGUUAAACGGGGAAGGCCGCGGUGGCGGCCCCGAGCAGCGGAGGGCUGAGGGGGAAUGCCGGGGAUUUUGGGAGGGUGAGGGCACCUCGUUCCAGGAAGGAAGGGAGGUGCUCAGAUCCGGUGCUUACCAGCACCUGGAGCCUGAAAUCUGGUGUUUGCUGCCACCGCCAGAUCCCAGAUCCAGAAAUUUCUCUGUUCCGGCACAGCCCAAGUCCAGCAAUUUGCUGGCACGGAAAGGCAAAAUCCGGCAAUUUCCCGGCCACCGCCCAGGUCUGGUAAUUUGCCGGUGCCAGGACUCCAGAUCCAGCAAAUUGCUGGCAGUUGCACCGCCCAGGUCUGGCACUUUCCAGCACCGGUACCGCCCAGAUGCGGCAAUUUCCUGCUGCUGGGGCACUCGGGGCUCUGGCUGAGCAGCAAAGCUUUAAGACACGCAACAUGGAGAAGCCAGAGCCCACUCUCAGCUUUCUGGAGUCUUCCAGAAGAAUCCUGUGUGGGAAGCAGCCUGGGAGCAGGGUUUAUGUGCCAGAGGAGGGUCUUUCUGCAGAGCCAUCCUACCUUCCAACAGAUCAACACAUGUCCCAAACUUGGUGUCAUCUCCAAACUCACUAAUGAAGGACUCAAUCCCCUCAUCCGUGGGAUCAGUGAAGGCAUUGGACAGAGCUGGCCCCAGUGCAGAGCCCUGAGGGCCAGCACUGGAAGGGAAAGCACCGCUGGAAAAAUGGGAGAAGGGAAUUUCCUUCACGGAGUUUGUUUGGAUUGAUGGGAUUUUCUGGAGCAUCCCAUUGCAGCCCUGCCAUGGAUGGAUGGGGACACUGGAAUUUUUUCAUCCCAGCCUAGAAAACAUUUUUAUGGGAAAGAAGGAGGAAUUCUUUUCUUCCUGGGAUAAUCUGGAGCACAAGAGGAGCUUCCUGGAAAAGCUUUCCCAUUCCAGGAGGAACCUGGAGGCUCCUGCUGCUCUGACCAUUCCCAGGAUGGAUCAUUGAUCCCAUUUCCACCUUCUUUUUUAUCCUAAAAUCCCACUUUUUUGUGGGAUUGACUCUGGAAUGGUCAGGCCGGGAUGAUCCUGGAUUGCUCCUGGAAUGGUUUGGAUUGGGAAGGGAUCUUAAAGCUCAUCCCAUUCCAACCCAACGCUUCCCAUCAUCCCAAUCCUCUUCCAACCUUUCCUAGGACACUCCCAGGGAUCCAGGGGCAGCCACAGCUUCUCUGGGAAUUCCCUCCCAGCCCAGAAUUCCUUCCCAAUAUCCCAUUUAUCCUCUGGCAGUUGGAAGCUUUUCCCUCUUUUCCCAUCAUUCCAUACCCUUGGGAAUAUUCCCUCUCCAUCUUUCCUGAAGAUUUCAAUCAUUCCCGCCCAGCUGAGGGGAUUUUCCUGGGAAAACCAUGAAAGGUGGUUUUAUCCCACUUUUUAAAUGCCGGGAAUUCUCCAUGCUUGGAAUGGAAAGAGGGAAAUCCAGGAGAGUGGGAACACCGGGAAUUCAAACCGAGGGAAAACCGGGAGUGGGAGCGAUUCCAGCAGGAGUGAGGUCAGCGGGAAUCCUCGGCAGGAAAACCCGGCUGGUUCCCAUGGAAACGCCCAGCCAGGAUUUCACACUCCACAAGUUUAAAGUUGGCAUUCCAUAAAAAAAAAAACGGGAAAAACCCAGGGAGGGAAUCCUGAGGGAACCCCUCCAGCACCUUUAUUUUUCCUUCAUGGAAUGCGUGGAUAAAUAGGAAUAUUUGGGAGUGGAGCACAAUUCCAGGGAGCUGCUCCCAGUUCAGACACUUCCAGGUGAUUUUCCAAGAUUCCAGAGGGUUUGGAAUAAUUUUGCCGUGGGAUAAUCAGUGGCACAAGGAGCUCGUUGGAAACUAAAGGAAUUUUAAGGGAUAAAUUAAAUAAAAUUAAGGAAAAAAGGGAAUAAGAGGAGCUUGGAAGUCAAGAAUCCAUAAAUUCCUGAUUUUCUUCUUGGGAAAAAUAUGGAAUUGCUGGAUUUGGGAGGAAAAAGGAAUUUUAAGCAAUUCCAGCCCCAAGGUGGGAAUUCGGGAAUUCCUGAGUGGAGCAGGGAUUCCCUUCCAGCAGCAAAGCCCAUGGAAGAGGGAAAAUGAAGGGAUGCAGCUGGAAAAUCCAAUUAAAAAGAAUAAAAAAGGCAAAAAUCCCAA